RNAcentral lists this ribosomal RNA (501 nucleotides) under uncultured bacterium. RNAcentral describes it as "partial 16S ribosomal RNA". It matches the Rfam family "Bacterial small subunit ribosomal RNA", at positions 30 to 523 of the family's 1533-position model. The record is from RNAcentral.
AUUGAACGCUGGCGGCAGGCUUAACACAUGCAAGUCGAGCGGGGGAAGGUAGCUUGCUACCGGACCUAGCGGCGGACGGGUGAGUAAUGCUUAGGAAUCUGCCUAUUAGUGGGGGACAACAUCUCGAAAGGGAUGCUAAUACCGCAUACGUCCUACGGGAGAAAGCAGGGGAUCUUCGGACCUUGCGCUAAUAGAUGAGCCUAAGUCGGAUUAGCUAGUUGGUGGGGUAAAGGCCUACCAAGGCGACGAUCUGUAGCGGGUCUGAGAGGAUGAUCCGCCACACUGGGACUGAGACACGGCCCAGACUCCUACGGGAGGCAGCAGUGGGGAAUAUUGGACAAUGGGGGGAACCCUGAUCCAGCCAUGCCGCGUGUGUGAAGAAGGCCUUAUGGUUGUAAAGCACUUUAAGCGAGGAGGAGGCUACUUUAGUUAAUACCUAGAGAUAGUGGACGUUACUCGCAGAAUAAGCACCGGCUAACUACGUGCCAGCAGCCGCCGCCG